RNAcentral lists this transfer RNA (62 nucleotides) under Hemisodorcus rubrofemoratus. RNAcentral describes it as "tRNA-Asp". RNAcentral also lists the same sequence under 1 other name. The record is from RNAcentral. Lineage: Eukaryota; Metazoa; Arthropoda; Insecta; Coleoptera; Lucanidae.
AAAGGUUUAGUUAAACUAUAACGCUAAUUUGUCAAGUUAUAAUUACCCCGGGGUAGCCUUUA